This is a long non-coding RNA of Brassica rapa (field mustard), 1519 nucleotides long. RefSeq lists it as uncharacterized. NCBI's taxonomy places the organism in Eukaryota, Viridiplantae, Streptophyta, Magnoliopsida, Brassicales, Brassicaceae. The record is from RefSeq and is a predicted model, not a curated record.
UAAAAAAAUAUGACAGAAUAUACACUAAUUUUUAUCAAAUUUUUAUUAUUCAAAGUCGUUAAUUAUCAUAUAUACUUUAGCCACAUUAGGCAAUUACGUAAUCUUAUUUAAGGAAAUAAUGAAGCACAUUAAUAAUGUAUUUAUUGUAGUUUAAUAAAAAGUUUAUUAUAUAUUUAGAUGGACCAACCUAUUUCUCUAAGGAUUCUAAGAAUCAUUCUAGUGAUGAUACGUAGCUACAAAAAAAUGUUUCAAUGCUUCUUAAAUAAUAUAUAGGGGAUAACCUAACUUGAAAGCCAAAUGUAUGAAUAAUGCAAGAGAGCAUGGUAAACUCUGUUUUUAUAUUUACUUUUCUUUUCAACAUUUCCAAGUCUUAGGUUUUCAACCCAAAAAGGCUAAUUUGUCAUUUUUAUAACCGGUCAAAUUGAGAAAGAUCAUUUCCAAUUUACAACACGACACACCAUGUAUGAAUAGCUUGAGAGUUGUCAAAUACACAACUAAACAUGAUUGUGGACAGGAAAAUAUAUUUACUGUAGAGUCAAAUAUUUUCCAACUAUAUAAUUUGUAACUAGUUUUAUUACUUGCUUGAAUCAUACAUAAGUUUCCAAAUUAUUAGCUGAUACAAAAACUUUGAAAUCAACCUCAAGUAAUAUGUGGGAAGCGAGGCUUCAAUGAGUGUCAUCAUGUAUUUAUGGAAACCCUUGAGGGAUACUUGGGACAGAAGGCAGCCAAUUAUCGGAUUCAUCAAAUCUUGGACCAAAUGGUUCGGGAGGAGGGGGCUGAUCUAAGAACGGUAAGGGCGGAAAAUCAGGGAGAGAGUGCCAAACCGGUACAGGAAACCUCCCCUUUUCAAGAUCGGGAAAUGUUGGCGGCGGCGGAAGGAGAGGCAAAUCAGGCUGAGGCGUCACUAUUGGUUCCUGGAAAGACGGAAAGUCAGGGAACCCAAGGUCAUGUACCGGUGAAUUACGACCGGAAGAUGGAUAAUCAUCAGCGCUAAUCUGAGCUACAUUAGCCUUGGAUGAUCUCACUAGUCGUGAUGAAAAUAUCUCUUUGGAGUCGAGAAUCAAAAAAAAAGUUAACACGAUGAUGUAUCUAAGCACAAGUGAAAGUGAAGCCAUUUUUGUAUUAGUGUGGAUUAAAAUGAUGUUUAGUCCUUUUUGCGAUCAUAGGAUUCAUGAAGUUUCAAAUUUAUAGGUUUGAAUUUAAGUUGUUGACGAUUGUAAAAUCUUCGUUAUAUAUUUUGCAUUGUGUUCCUACUUUCCACCAAAGCAUAUGCUAACAUCAAAAGUCAAACGUCAUGUCAACUACGAGUGUUUUGACCAGGAUCAACUCGAGAUAAUUCCACCUGUGUAUCCCACUCCCACCCAACUGGGUCAACGGGCACACACUAUAUGGUCUUAUAUAUUACAACCAAACCCAUAUCGAACAGAAAAGAAAAAAAAAAACAUGAUUAGAUUUCAAUUUUUCUAGAUUCAUAAAUAAAAUUGAAAAUUUUCCUAAGAACCAACACCAAACCUAACCU